GACGAACGCUGGCGGCGUGCUUAACACAUGCAAGUCGAACGGGAAGGCCCUGCUUUUUGGGGGUGCUCUAGUUGCGAACGGGUGAGUAACACGUGAGUAACCUGCCCUUGACUUUGGGAUAACUUCAUGAAACUGGGUCUAAUACCGGAUAGGAGCUCCUGCUGCAUGGUGGGGGUUGGAAAGUUUCGGCGGUUGGUGAUGGACUCGCGGCUUAUCAGAUUGUUGGUGGGGUAGUGGCUUACCAAGGCUUUGACGGGUAGCCGGCCUGAGAGGGUGACCGGCCACAUUGGGACUGAGAUAAGGCACAGCCUCCUACGGGAGGCAGCAGUGGGGAAUAUAGCACAAUGGGAGGAAGCAUGAUGCAGCAACGCCGCGUGCGGGAUGACGGCCUUCGGGUUGUAAACCGCUUUCGCCUGUGACGAAGCGUGAGUGACGGUAAUGGGUAAAGAAGCACCGGCUAACUACGUG
This 468-nucleotide ribosomal RNA is filed under the name uncultured bacterium. RNAcentral describes it as "partial 16S ribosomal RNA". It matches the Rfam family "Bacterial small subunit ribosomal RNA", at positions 28 to 507 of the family's 1533-position model. The record is from RNAcentral.